This 468-nucleotide ribosomal RNA is filed under the name uncultured bacterium. Its description in RNAcentral is "partial 16S ribosomal RNA". It matches the Rfam family "Bacterial small subunit ribosomal RNA", at positions 28 to 507 of the family's 1533-position model. The record is from RNAcentral.
GACGAACGCUGGCGGCGUGCUUAACACAUGCAAGUCGAACGGAAAGGCCCUGCUUUUGUGGGGUGCUCGAGUGGCGAACGGGUGAGUAACACGUGAGUAACCUGCCCUUGACUUUGGGAUAACUUCAGGAAACUGGGGCUAAUACCGGAUAGGAGCUCCUGCUGCAUGGUGGGGGUUGGAAAGUUUCGGCGGUUGGGGAUGGACUCGAGGCUUAUCAGCUUGUUGGUGGGGUAGUGGCUUACCAAGGCUUUGACGGGUAGCCGGCCUGAGAGGGUGACCGGCCACAUUGGGACUAAGAGACGGCCCAGACUCCUACGGGAGGCAGCAGUGGGGAAUAUUGCACAAUGGGCGGAAGCCUGAUGCAGCAACGCCGCGUGCGGGAUGACGGCCUUCGGGUUGUAAACCGCUUUCGCCUGUGACGAAGCGUGAGUGACGGUAAUGGGUAAAGAAGCACCGGCUAACUACGUG